GCGAUUCCGGCGGAGGAUGGGCAUGCGGCGCAUUAGCUUGUUGGCGGGGUAACGGCCUACCAAGGCGACGAUGCGUAGGGGUUCUGAGAGGAACCUCCCCCACACUGGUACUGAGACACGGACCAGACUCCUACGGGAGGCAGCAGUGAGGAAUAUUGGUCAAUGGGCGGGAGCCUGAACCAGCCAAGUCGCGUGAGGGAAGACGGUCCUAUGGAUUGUAAACCUCUUUAGGCGGGGAGCAAUGCCGGGCACGCGUGCCCGGAGGGAGAGUACCCGCAGAAAAAGCAUCGGCUAACUCCGUGCCAGCAGCCGCGGUAAUACGGAGGAUGCGAGCGUUAUCCGGAUUUAUUGGGUUUAAAGGGUGCGUAGGCGGAUUUUUAAGUCAGCGGUAAAAUGUCCGGGCUCAACCCGGGCCGGCCGUUGAAACUGGGGAUCUUGAGUGGGCGAGAAGUAUGCGGAAUGCGUGGUGUAGCGGUGAAAUGCAUAGAUAUCACGCAGAACUCCGAUUGCGAAGGCAGCAUACCGGCGCCCGACUGACGCUGAGGCACGAAAGCGUGGGGAUCGAACAGGAUUAGAUACCCUGGUAGUCCACGCAGUA
Molecule: ribosomal RNA, 598 nt
Filed under: uncultured bacterium
Lineage: Bacteria
Description: bacterial SSU rRNA
Rfam family: Bacterial small subunit ribosomal RNA
Source: RNAcentral